CCAAAAUUCCCUUAGCCUAAAAGCCUCUCUCCAAAUAUUAAUAGCAAUCCUCUUCCAACAAUAUUCUGAUGGCCCCUUAAGCUAUUAUGAAUAGAUGCCUAGCUCCAAAACAUGGGCGUGUAACUACUCAAAUACUUGUCAAAUGGCUCAACACAGGACCAGAGGACAUCACUUGGGAGUAGGGGCAUUGAAAAUCGAACCGAUAUCGAAGCUUAAUGGCUUAUUGGUAUCAGGUUAACGGUUUAAUGGAUGGGAAACAUAUUGAAAU
This 268-nucleotide long non-coding RNA is filed under the name Nicotiana benthamiana. Its description in RNAcentral is "long non-coding RNA (NBEN_LNC023693)". Lineage: Eukaryota; Viridiplantae; Streptophyta; Magnoliopsida; Solanales; Solanaceae. The record is from RNAcentral.